AACACCCCUAACAUGUGUCUCUGGCUGUACUGUGCUCAAAGGGCUUUCUCCUGCAUUAUCUGGUGUAACCCUUCUAUGACCCUUGGGAAGUCAGGGAAAGAACAAAGUGCUCUGGCUUGUGUGAACUUCCAGUACUCUCGAAAGCUGAUUUUCUCAUUAUAAAUGAAUAAAUUGGCGUUCUGGUUAUAACUUGGCUUCUCCAGUAAUUUGCCUCCAGGGAGAGAAUGGACUGAUCUCCGUACUAGAGUGUUCUGUCUGCUUGCCAGCUUAACUUCGCUUUGUAAGCGAAUAAAUGGGCCUCCUGUAGUUAUAUAUCGGCCUCUCAGGGGUGCCUGGUUAAUGCCUGGUUUCCUGGGGAAGAAGGACCAGGUGAGAAGUGCCAACAAACAGGUCUCCUGGCCUGCAGGAGAGCAGGCUCCUCAAGUGGAGAAAUCAUCAAGGCAAUGAAUGCGGUCUCCUGGGGUCUCUUGGGAGAGAGCUGGUGUCUGAACCACAGUGACACGUGGCCUUAACACGAGGAACUGAACCUUCAUGCCCCAAAGGAAGCAAGUUUGGAUCCUUUAACCCCUAAGCAGGUUAUUCCAGCUCAGUGAGAAGAAUCCCUACUUUAUUCCCAUUGGCAUGAGACGAAGAGGUUCUUGGAAGCAAAACUUUGCCAUGUCGCUCCUUCCUUUAAAAUCCCUUGACAGCCUCUUAUUACUUGGAGUAUAAAGUCCAAACUCCUUGGCAAGACUUGCCUUUGUGA
Molecule: long non-coding RNA, 745 nt
Filed under: Homo sapiens (human)
Lineage: Eukaryota; Metazoa; Chordata; Mammalia; Primates; Hominidae
Description: HSALNT0008476
Source: RNAcentral